Molecule: ribosomal RNA, 855 nt
Filed under: fungal endophyte
Lineage: Eukaryota; Fungi
Description: eukaryotic LSU rRNA
Rfam family: Eukaryotic large subunit ribosomal RNA (bases 495-855)
Source: RNAcentral
UUAAAGAGUUCUAUAACUCCCAAACCCAUGUGAACAUACCUAACGUUGCCUCGGCAGGUCGCACCUACCUUGUAGCACCCUACCCUGUAGGGCCUACCCGGGAGGUGCGGGUAAGCCUGCCGGCGGCCCACCAAACUCUGUUUGAUAUUGAAUUCUGAACCUAUAACUAAAUAAGUUAAAACUUUCAACAACGGAUCUCUUGGUUCUGGCAUCGAUGAAGAACGCAGCGAAAUGCGAUAAGUAAUGUGAAUUGCAGAAUUCAGUGAAUCAUCGAAUCUUUGAACGCAUAUUGCGCCCAUUAGUAUUCUAGUGGGCAGGACCGUUCGAGCGUCAUUUCAACCCUUAAGCCUUCGUUGCUUAGUGUUGGGAGCCUACGGCAACGUAGCUCCUCAAAGUUAGUGGCGGAGUUGGUUCACACUCUAGACGUAGUAAUUUUUUAUCUCGCCUAUUAGUUGGACUAAUCCCCUGCCGUAAAACCCCCAAUUUAUCAAGGUUGACCUCGAAUCGGUUCAGACAAACUCGCUAAAUUGAAGCAUCUUAGUCAGCGAAGGAAAAGAAACCAACAGGGAUUGCCCUAGUAACGGCGAGUGAAGCGGCAACAGCUCAAAUUUGAAAUCUGGCCCUCGGGUCCGAGUUGUAAUUUGUAGAGGAUGCUUUUGGCGCGGUGCCUUCCGAGUUCCCUGGAACGGGACGCCUUAGAGGGUGAGAGCCCCGUACGGUUGGACACCAAGCCUCUGUAAAGCUCCUUCGACGAGUCGAGUAGCUUGGGAAUGCUGCUCUAAAUGGGAGGUAAAUUUCUUCUAAAGCUAAAUAUUGGCCAGAGACCGAUAGCGCACAAGUAGAGUGAUCGAAAGA